UUAAUUAUGUAGGCAUUUUAAGUAAUCGUUAUACUGUUGCAAACUUUCUCAUUUCGGACGUAUCUUACAACAAUGAAUCGAUUCACAUUUCACAAGAAAUCGUUAGUCGAUUGAAGUUCAAGACUAAAUAGUUUCACUACUGCAGUUAGUAUAAUAUCUGGGAUAUGUUUUGCGCCUCGUGUAAAAUUAGUACCGGCAACAGAUUUAACUCCAUUUUAGCCUUAUCAUUUAUGGCUAAGAGAUCUAUUGAUAACGUCAUUCACUAGUUCAUUCCAACUUGAAAUUUGAAAUUUCUACUUUAAAGAAAAUAAAUCGACUAAGGCUUAUAUUGUGUUCUGUUUAUUUUUCUUUGUUAAUCCUUAAUCGUGUCUAGUUUCUACUGUACGUUACUAACACCAAGGGAUUGAUACAACAACAACAAGCUAACUACUCAAAAUUAUUAAAAUAGUUUUCAUAAAUAUACUUGAGUUUUAGACUCGCAAGAUACAUUUGAUUACAUGAGAUCGAUGUUUAUGUUUUUUUAACAAAAGACAAGCUCUGCUCAGAAUAACUACUUGAUACAGUCGAGAGAUAUGCGUACGACAAGCCUGACCGAGAUGUUAAUUUUUAUUUUUUUGUUAGUUAUUUAGAUUGAAAUGACUAAAAUUAUGUAAUAUAUACAUAACAUAAUAAUAUCAAUGGCAUAGUGCACAAGUGUGUUGAAUGAUUUUUUUUUUGUUAUAAUUUUAAACAUUAUUAUGUAUUAAUUGAAGAACUUAUAGAUGGUUCUCUAGCAGCAGUAAUUUUUAGUCAGGCUAUUAUAGGUAAUAUAUAUACAAAUAAUAAUGUUUAAUUAGUAUUUUAAAAUGAUUUUUCUUCUAAAACAAUUAUUUUUCGCUAUG
Adelges cooleyi (spruce gall adelgid) is the source of this 881-nucleotide long non-coding RNA. RefSeq lists it as uncharacterized. NCBI's taxonomy places the organism in Eukaryota, Metazoa, Arthropoda, Insecta, Hemiptera, Adelgidae. The transcript is spliced from 3 exons. The record is from RefSeq and is a predicted model, not a curated record.